CCUGAGGAGACCGUCACUUGAGUUCCUUUCCCCCAGUAAUCAAAGUACCUCACUGUGCCUGUCGAGCGCAGUAGUAAACAGCAGUGUCCUCUGCUCUCAGACUCUUGGCCUCUAAGUACUAUGUCCUGGUGGAGACGUCCUCAGUCAGGGUGAACUGGC
This is a long non-coding RNA of Alosa sapidissima (American shad), 159 nucleotides long. RefSeq lists it as uncharacterized. The record is from RefSeq and is a predicted model, not a curated record. Lineage: Eukaryota; Metazoa; Chordata; Actinopteri; Clupeiformes; Clupeidae. The transcript has 3 exons.